CCUUGACAUACUAAGAACUUUCCAGAGAUGGAUUGGUGCCUUCGGGAACUUAGAUACAGGUGCUGCAUGGCUGUCGUCAGCUCGUGUCGUGAGAUGUUGGGUUAAGUCCCGNAACGAGCGCAACCCUUUUCCUUAUUUGCCAGCGGGUCAUGCCGGGAACUUUAAGGAUACUGCCAGUGACAAACUGGAGGAAGGCGGGGACGACGUCAAGUCAUCAUGGCCCUUACGGCCAGGGCUACACACGUGCUACAAUGGUCGGUACAAAGGGUUGCUACCUCGCGAGAGGAUGCUAAUCUCAAAAAAGCCGAUCGUAGUCCGGAUCGCAGUCUGCAACUCGACUGCGUGAAGUCGGAAUCGCUAGUAAUCGCGGAUCAGAAUGCCGCGGUGAAUACGUUCCCGGGCCUUGUACACACCGCCCGUCACACCAUGGGAGUUUGUUGCACCAGAAGUAGGUAGUCUAACCGCAAGGAGGACGCUUACCACGGUGUGGCCGAUGACUGGGGUGAAGUCGUAACAAGGUAGGCGUAGAUGA
RNAcentral lists this ribosomal RNA (532 nucleotides) under uncultured bacterium. Its description in RNAcentral is "bacterial SSU rRNA". It matches the Rfam family "Bacterial small subunit ribosomal RNA", at positions 979 to 1509 of the family's 1533-position model. The record is from RNAcentral.